Molecule: ribosomal RNA, 1404 nt
Filed under: uncultured Bacilli bacterium
Lineage: Bacteria; Bacillati; Bacillota; Bacilli
Description: bacterial SSU rRNA
Rfam family: Bacterial small subunit ribosomal RNA
Source: RNAcentral
ACGAACGCUGGCGGCGUGCCUAAUACAUGCAAGUCGAACGAGCUCUCCCAAAUUGAUUUUAUGCUUGCAUAAAUGAUUUUUGGAUUCGGAGCGAGUGGCGAACUGGUGAGUAACACGUGGGUAACCUGCCCCGAAGCGGGGGAUAACAUUUGGAAACAAGUGCUAAUACCGCAUAAUUAGUUGGAACCGCAUGGUUCCAACUUGAAAGAUGGCUCUGCUAUCACUUUGGGAUGGACCCGCGCCGUAUUAGUUAGUUGGUGAGAUAAAAGCCCACCAAGACGAUGAUACGUAGCCGACCUGAGAGGGUAAUCGGCCACAUUGGGACUGAGACACGGCCCAGACUCCUACGGGAGGCAGCAGUAGGGAAUCUUCCACAAUGGACGAAAGUCUGAUGGAGCAACGCCGCGUGAGUGAUGAAGGUUUUCGGAUCGUAAAACUCUGUUGUUAAAGAAGAACAAGUGUUAGAGUAACUGUUAACACUUUGACGGUAUUUAACCAGAAAGCCACGGCUAACUACGUGCCAGCAGCCGCGGUAAUACGUAGGUGGCAAGCGUUGUCCGGAUUUAUUGGGCGUAAAGCGAGCGCAGGCGGUUUUGUAAGUCUGCUGUGAAAGCCCUCAGCUCAACUGAGGAAGUGCAGUGGAAACUACAAAACUUGAGUACAGAAGAGGAAAGUGGAACUCCCAUGUGUAGCGGUGAAAUGCGUAGAUAUAUGGAAGAACACCAGUGGCGAAGGCGGCUUUCUGGUCUGUUACUGACGCUGAGGCUCGAAAGCAUGGGUAGCGAACAGGAUUAGAUACCCUGGUAGUCCAUGCCGUAAACGAUGAAUACUAGGUGUUGGAGGGUUUCCGCCCUUCAGUGCCGCAGCUAACGCAUUAAGUAUUCCGCCUGGGGAGUACGACCGCAAGGUUGAAACUCAAAGGAAUUGACGGGGGCCCGCACAAGUGGUGGAGCAUGUGGUUUAAUUCGAUGCUACGCGAAGAACCUUACCAGCUCUUGACAUCUUCUGCCAACCCAAGAGAUUGGGCGUUCCCUUCGGGGACAGAAUGACAGGUGGUGCAUGGUUGUCGUCAGCUCGUGUCGUGAGAUGUUGGGUUAAGUCCCGCAACGAGCGCAACCCUUAUUAUUAGUUGCCAGCAUUUAGUUGGGCACUCUAGUGAGACUGCCGGUGAUAAACCGGAGGAAGGUGGGGACGACGUCAAAUCAUCAUGCCCCUUAUGAGCUGGGCUACACACGUGCUACAAUGGAUGGUACAACGAGUCGCGAAACCGCGAGGUCAAGCUAAUCUCUUAAAGCCAUUCUCAGUUCGGAUUGCAGGCUGCAACUCGCCUGCAUGAAGUUGGAAUCACUAGUAAUCGUGGACCAGCAUGCCACGGUGAAUACGUUCCCGGGCCUUGUACACACC